RNAcentral lists this ribosomal RNA (801 nucleotides) under uncultured bacterium. Its description in RNAcentral is "bacterial SSU rRNA". It matches the Rfam family "Bacterial small subunit ribosomal RNA", at positions 63 to 854 of the family's 1533-position model. The record is from RNAcentral.
CGAGGGGCAGCGGGGAGGCAGCGAUGCCUCCGCCGGCGACCGGCGCUUGGGUGAGUAACACGUAUGAAACCUGCCCGGAGCAGGGGGAUAAGCGGAAGAAAUUCCGUCUAAUACCGCGUAAUGAGGCGGGGAGGCAUCUCCCCGCUUCCAAAGAUUUAUCGGCUCCGGAUGGUCAUGCGGCGCAUUAGCUGGUUGGCGGGGUAACGGCCCACCAAGGCGACGAUGCGUAGGGGUUCUGAGAGGAAGGCCCCCCACACUGGUACUGAGACACGGACCAGACUCCUACGGGAGGCAGCAGUGAGGAAUAUUGGUCAAUGGCCGGGAGGCUGAACCAGCCAAGUCGCGUGAGGGAUGACGGCCCUACGGGUUGUAAACCUCUUUUGCCGGGGAGCAAGAACCGCCUCGCGCAGGCGGACUGAGAGUACCCGGAGAAAAAGCAUCGGCUAACUCCGUGCCAGCAGCCGCGGUAAUACGGAGGAUGCGAGCGUUAUCCGGAUUCAUUGGGUUUAAAGGGUGCGCAGGCGGGCGGUCAAGUCAGCGGUAAAAUCGUGGGGCCCAACCCCAUCCCGCCGUUGAAACUGGCCGUCUUGAGUGGGCGAGAAGUAUGCGGAAUGCGUGGUGUAGCGGUGAAAUGCAUAGAUAUCACGCAGAACUCCGAUUGCGAAGGCAGCAUACCGGCGCCCGACUGACGCUCAUGCACGAAAGCGUGGGUAUCGAACAGGAUUAGAUACCCUGGUAGUCCACGCAGUAAACGAUGAAUACUAAUUGUCCGGGGCGAAUGAGCCCUGGGUGAUACAGCGA